This 570-nucleotide ribosomal RNA is filed under the name uncultured bacterium. RNAcentral's name for it is "bacterial SSU rRNA". It matches the Rfam family "Bacterial small subunit ribosomal RNA", at positions 355 to 916 of the family's 1533-position model. The record is from RNAcentral.
UGGGGAAUAUUGGACAAUGGGGGCAACCCUGAUCCAGCCAUGCCGCGUGGGUGAAGAAGGCCUUCGGGUUGUAAAGCCCUUUUGUACGGGAAGAAAAGCGUCGGGUUAACAACCGGGCGUCAUGACGGUACCGUAAGAAUAAGCACCGGCUAACUUCGUGCCAGCAGCCGCGGUAAUACGAAGGGUGCAAGCGUUACUCGGAAUUACUGGGCGUAAAGCGUGCGUAGGCGGUGGUUUAAGUCUGAUGUGAAAUCCCCGGGCUCAACCUGGGAAUGGCAUUGGAUACUGGAUCGCUAGAGUACGGUAGAGGGUGGUGGAAUUCCCGGUGUAGCAGUGAAAUGCGUAGAGAUCGGGAGGAACAUCUGUGGCGAAGGCGGCCACCUGGACCAGUACUGACGCUGAGGCACGAAAGCGUGGGGAGCAAACAGGAUUAGAUACCCUGGUAGUCCACGCCCUAAACGAUGCGAACUGGAUGUUGGGGGGAACUUGCCCUUCAGUAUCGAAGCUAACGCGUUAAGUUCGCCGCCUGGGGAGUGCGGUCGCAAGACUGAAACUCAAAGGAAUUGACGG